GACGAACGCUGGCGGCGUGCUUAACACAUGCAAGUCGAACGGGAAGGCCCUGCUUUUGUGGGGUGCUCGAGUGGCGAACGGGUGAGUAACACGUGAGUAACCUGCCCUUGACUUUGGGAUAACUUCAGGAAACUGGGGCUAAUACCGGAUAGGAGCUCCUGCUGCAUGGUGGGGGUUGGAAAGUUUCGGCGGUUGGGGAUGGACUCGCGGCUUAUCAGCUUGUUGGUGGGGUAGUGGCUUACCAAGGCUUUGACGGGUAGCCGGCCUGAGAGGGUGACCGGCCACAUUGGGACUGAGAUACGGCCCAGACUCCUACGGGAGGCAGCAGUGGGGAAUAUUGCACAAUGGGCGGAAGCCUGAUGCAGCAACGCCGCGUGUGGGAUGACGGCCUUCGGGUUGUAAACCGCUUUCGCCUGUGACGAAGCGUGAGUGACGGUAAUGGGUAAAGAAGCACCGGCUAACUACGUG
Molecule: ribosomal RNA, 468 nt
Filed under: uncultured bacterium
Lineage: Bacteria
Description: partial 16S ribosomal RNA
Rfam family: Bacterial small subunit ribosomal RNA
Source: RNAcentral